This is a long non-coding RNA of Priapulus caudatus, 175 nucleotides long. RefSeq lists it as uncharacterized. NCBI's taxonomy places the organism in Eukaryota, Metazoa, Priapulida, Priapulimorpha, Priapulimorphida, Priapulidae. The transcript has 3 exons. The record is from RefSeq and is a predicted model, not a curated record.
AUAAACUAAAAGAAAUACAGUAUUUACAAAUGGCGUUUGUUCUCUUGUUUUAAAGGUUUGUUGAGUCAAAACAAAUCAAUGCAGUCAAUCAGAGGAGCUCAAAACUCUGCAAUGGAUAUAACGUGUAGGGAAAAAAAAUUCGCCUCCCGCGAGUCUCGAGACCUACAACAUCUGG